UACGUAGGGGGCAAGCGUUGUCCGGAAUCAUUGGGCGUAAAGCGCGUGUAGGCGGUUCAGUAAGUCUGCUGUGAAAGUCCAGGGCUCAACCCUGGAAAGCCGGUGGAAACUGUCAAGCUCGAGUCCGGAAGAGGCGAGUGGAAUUCCUGGUGUAGCGGUGAAAUGCGCAGAUAUCAGGAGGAACACCAAUGGCGAAGGCAGCUCGCUGGGACGGUACUGACGCUGAGACGCGAAAGCGUGGGGAGCAAACAGG
This 253-nucleotide ribosomal RNA is filed under the name uncultured bacterium. RNAcentral's name for it is "partial 16S ribosomal RNA". It matches the Rfam family "Bacterial small subunit ribosomal RNA", at positions 524 to 776 of the family's 1533-position model. The record is from RNAcentral.